This is a non-coding RNA of Paramuricea clavata, 808 nucleotides long. The record is from the annotation of a GenBank genome assembly. NCBI's taxonomy places the organism in Eukaryota, Metazoa, Cnidaria, Anthozoa, Malacalcyonacea, Plexauridae.
UAAACGAAAACAUACCAUAUAUUAUACCAAGUAUUGAAAAGUACAUGGCUUUUCAAUAUUUAACAUGUAAAAAUGCGUAUUUUUAGAUAAAACAAUAUAGGUAGAGUUGAUAUUGUGACACACAUUUAUGUUAUUAGAAAACAAGACUGUCACACCUCCUGCGCGAUGGGACUUCUGGUACCAGUGACAAUGCAAAGACCAAGACGAUGAAUCAUUUUCUUCUUUCGAGUUAUGUUUAUGUGAAGAAGGGCGAAAACGAUGAAGCUGAUCGGAAGAAAGCUGAUAAAAUUUCGGUGGUUUAAAAUCCAGUAUUGAAGUAAAUGUCUGGUUCUAAACAGUUAAUAAAAACAUAAUUAUUAAGUAGGCCUAUUUAGCUUCUAAAACUGUAUACUCACUUUCCAAAAUAAGGACGUUGAUAUUCAUAUUUAGGUAUAUACUCAAUUCCUAUAAUAGGAUAAUCAUAGUUGUUCAAAGAAAGAAGUUAAUAAUUUGUCCGGGACUUUAAUUAAAUAAACAUCCAAUCUAGCUGCAAAAAGGCUCUCGGAAGUCGCCAAGUAGAAAGGAAAUUUCAUCUUUCACAUCAUAAAAGUAUUUUUCCACUGCACUCAUAAGCAUUUAUUAUUUGUAUAAUAGACAUGGCCAAAAAUAUAUACCGGACCAGGAGAAAUAUUCUUACUAUUGCACGAAUAAAAGCAUUAAGAGGCAGUCUCUGUAAUAACUGACCGAUGACUAGGAAGUAAAAAAUCAGAAUGGUUUAAAUCAGGACUAUUGUUUGCUUUUUGAUAACUUACAUCAAAUACAGUUUCAA